This 5079-nucleotide long non-coding RNA is filed under the name Panax ginseng (ginseng). Its description in RNAcentral is "long non-coding RNA (PGIN_LNC003389)". Lineage: Eukaryota; Viridiplantae; Streptophyta; Magnoliopsida; Apiales; Araliaceae. The record is from RNAcentral.
ACACGUCUUCAUGGCUAAUCUGAAUAUCAAUACUGCUCUCACAUUGAUUCAUGGAUUCAAUACGCCAUAAAUCACAAAGCAACUGAGCUCAAAUUGACUUCUUUAUCGAUCGUAGGUACCACAACGCUAAGGACGCUCGGAUUUCCUACGAUUUCAAGUUUCAUUUCCUAAAAGAUAGCCGUGUUAGGUUUUUUAGAUUGUGUUCCGCAGAUCUCGUCCAUCUUGUCCGUUAUCAUUCCUCACUCCAUACCCUUUUUCUUUCUCUACAGCCAUGGCUAACAGCGUCAGCUCCACCUCUGACCUCAAGUUUGCCGCCCUUUUGGAGCAGAUGAGCUCCACCUCGCCACCGACGCCGAUAAGGAUAUCAUCAACAAAAUCGGCCUCGUUUAUCAACUCAAUAUCGCCCCCAAGGUCUCUCUUUCUCUCUCUCUUUCUAUAUGUAUGUAUGUAUUAUAUGCCUAAUUUACUUAAUCCGAUUAGUUACUAAUCAUAACCCUUGGCUUUGACCUUGAUUUUUAUCAGAAAAUUUGGUACAAUGAGGAAAUUUAUGUUGUUGAUCUCAAAAAAGGAGAGGUUACCAAAGGCUAGGGUUUUUGAUCCUCCCUCUGUGUCAUCACAGCUCUACUUCUGGUUAUAGCAAAAUUUGUUGUUUUCUUAGUUAAAUAAUCAAAUUUUGUUGUGUAACUGAGUUCAAUUUCUUUUUUGCUGUGUAAUUUUAACUGUUUCCACAUGGAUCAGAAUUGAAACAAGUGUUGGGGUUAAUUAGGAACUCAAUAUAAUAUGAUGGUCUGGUCUUAACAUUUGCUGCCAUUGGUACUAGCUUAAAUUUUGAGAUGAGUUAAUUAUUUAACUUAUAUCCAUAUUUACUAUUUAAACUUUUAUAUGAGUUGGUUACUUAAUACUACUAUAUACAUGGUGGCAUUAGCCUUAGGUCUAGGUAUAAAGGGCUGUCAGAUUCUACCAAGUAAAGGCUCAAUUUUUAUCAGUAGCAUUCUUCUCCACUACUAGUUGGAUUGGAAGGCUCUAGCAUUUAAACACAAUGUAUAGCUUUUUUUUCUUUACAAUUCACAAACUACUAAUAGUUUAAUUUCUUAAAUUUUAACCGUUUCCACAUGGAUCAGAAUUGAAACAAUUUUGGAGUACGUUUAUCAUUUGGUUUGCUUGGAUUGUUAAGUGUUAUAAGGAUGAGUGAUCCUGAUCUUACAUCUUUUGCACUUGGAAUUGAUUUGACGAUACUUGGGUUGAACUUGAAUUCUUCAGAAAAUUUGCACAAAGCAUUUGGUUCCCCGUGGUCUGAUGAGCCUGCCAAGGGUGAUCCAGAGUUCAAUGUGCCUCAGUUUUAUUAUGCUAAACAACCACCUUCCCUAUAUGUGAGCUAACCUUUAUUUUCAUUUCAAGUCUUCCUUUUUUUGUUAGCCUUUGUAUUUGUUGCUCAAAUUUUUUUGGGUGGGUGCAACAAGGUUAUUUUUCAAAGUUCUAGUUGGACACAUUAUUUUACAUAUUUUACAGGUACGAGUCUUGAGGAUUUCUAUUAAAUUUUCUUAGUGAAUCUUGUUCAAUCCUGAUACAUAUUUGUAACUGAUUUUAUACAUGCAACAUGCCAAAAGACAAAGCCCAUUUAUAUGUUGUAAAUGAACUGUAUGCUCUCUCGGCCACUUGACAUUCAAAGCAUGCUUGUAUCUCCUUUUCUAUUGCUUGCAUCAUAGAUUCUUCUAUGUUUGAGUGAUCCAUGUUUCCCAAAUAAAAAUUCUAGCAUUGCCUGAGGACUUUGCAUGCCAUUAUUGUGAGGGCUACAAUAUUGCUAAUUGUAGUUCUGCGCCUGUUAUAUGCGGGUAUAACAGAGGAUGGUUCUACCACAGAGAGCAUUACUCGUGGUUAAUGCGUGUGACCAACAUGGAGCCUCUUGUGAAGACGAAUGCGUAUGAGAGAGAUUCUUAUAUAUGUUUUGACCUAAACACAUGGGAAACAAUCCGCAAGGUUAGUGGUUCCUUUGUCAUUGGUUGUUACAUUAUUCCCUCCCAUGUUGUCUCCUCAGUCCUUCGGCGGUUACAUUUUGCCCACACAUGUCAAUUUUUAUUAGAUUAUAGCUCCCCGAUUGAUUAAUCUAUUCUUCUUGCUGCAAGAAAAUUUUGUGGUCCACUAUGAUAUGUUGGAAAAAAGCUACAGAACCUUUGCUACAAAUUUUGUGCUCCCCAAAAAUUUUGAUGUUUGGGGGUGCCUCCAAAAAAUAAGAACAAGUUUUACCGACAAUGAUAGUGAUUCGGAUCAUAGUACUUUAUCAUCUGUUUCGUCAACACAAAUGUCAAAGAGAAGAAGUUGGACUCAGUCUGAACUUUUAGGUGUUAAAGAAAUGUUUGACUCUUCAAUGCUCUGACUUGCACUUUGCUAAUUGCUCUGUCAUAAUAGUCUUGUGUAAUGCUUGUCCACUUUGCUAAUUGCUCUAACCUGCACAUAAUGUUUUUCCAUGUAUAUAACUCUUAAAUGGAAUCUAGGUCUUUAGUUGUUGAAAUGUUUCUCAAGUAAAGAAAUAACAAAUCCGUGUGAUUUAAUUCCAUUUAUGUUUACUGAUUAUUGGUCUGGGUUAAUUGUAUUUUAAUUAUAUUUACUAUGUGAUUAGAUUUGAAAUGAUUCAAAUGGCUAUGUAAUUGAAAAUUGAUUUCUGAAAUUAUUGGUUCAAGUGGUGUAGAUUUUGUCAAAGUUGACCCUAGUAUAUUGUGUCAAAAUUCUGUAGAAUCAGUUUAAUAUUCCACAUCCCAUGGUGUAUAUUAAUGAUGCAGCUUCUUUUAUUAUAGUCAAAUAGUUACUUUUAUUAUAGUCAAAUAGUCACCAGUAUUUGCAAGCAUUCUUAGUGUAGUUUACAGUUGAGGUGGAACUGACUAGAAUUAUUAAUCAUGACUUGCAUUCGAAGAAGGUAAACAAAGGCUAUAUCAGUACAAUAAGGUGGUGUAGAAAGCUAGCUAUUAGAAGCAUGAACUUGUAUAUGGAACUAGUCAAUAACCCCAAAAGGGCUAGGGAAGAUGAUAAGUUGAUUUUAUACAUACUUAUCCGGUAUCUGUUACUUGAAUUAGUUGCUUAUAUUCAUGUUCUUAGUUACUUUUCAUACAUUUUAUGUUAUUUUUUAGGCUAUGACAUGACAUUGGCAUGACGAAGCAAGGAAAAGCAAUUCAGACAUCUUUUGGACUAAAAUACGCAAGCAAAUGCAAGAAGGGAAUAUUGAAGGACUUUUAACACCAAGUUGGAUGCAUGUUCUUGACUUUGAACUUGGAUUUUAUGGUAUCUCUACUUCUUAUCUUUCCGGAACAUCUUGAAUCAUCCCAAUCGGAGCUCGGAUGCGAGAGUUAUGGCCUUUUUAUCAAUGAAGAUCAAAACUAAGAGUUGUCAUGCUUGCCAUUUACAUAGAAUCUACUUCAAGAUCGAUUUAGGCCUUGAUCCGGACGGAAUCUGUCAAUCCUCAAAGAAUGAAAGUUAUAGAUCUCGUUGUUAUCUUCGAUUUGAUAGGUGGAAGACCCCGUAACUCCAAGCAGAUCAAAAGUUAUGCCUAUUUUACCAAAGGACGUUGCAGCAAAAAAUAGCGUAGCGCGGACCGCGCUAGGGACGCGCUAGGCCACCAGAUUCUCUGCCAGUAUAGCGCGGAGCGCGCCCAGAAAGGCUUAGCAGCAGUGCGGAGCGCGCUAGGUGGUGAGAGGAGAGUUAAAUUGGGUUAUUUGAUGUCCAAAUUGAGCUAGAAUAGGAUUCUUAGUUGCCUAACUUGCUAGGAUAUCCAUUAGAAUAGGAUUCUUAGUUGCCUAACUUAUUCUUUACUUUUUUUCUUAAAUUAGGAACCCUAGAUUAGAUUAGAAUUGAAGAUUGAAGCAACUUGGAGACCAUUGAAGAUCAAGAGCAGGAGCUUGAGGAAGAUGGAGAUUUGUUGACAACAGAUUUAUUCUUUACUCUACUCUUAUUCUUAUCAUUUAAUGUUAUUUCAAGUGUGGAUUCUUAGUUUUAAUUCAAUGAACUAAUUUUUUGUUUGAGAUUACAAUGAAUCUUAUUGUGUAGUUUAUUUUAAUAUGCUUCGUUAUCAAUUAUUAUGUUCUAUCAUGAAAAUUGUCUAUUGUGAUUUGGACUUAAUUGUUUAAUUGAUCGGCCAUUAAUUACCGUGAUAAUCUAUAUAAACUCGAGAGAUGAAGUUUAGAUUUAGAUCUGAUCAUGAUAGCAUAUGUUUGUGAUUUCUGCAUAGAUGGAAUUCAUAAUUCAUGUUUAGGAUAGAGAUAUGCCUUUAUGCCAUAUGUAAUCUUAUAGAGAACUUGUGCUUUAAAUCCUUCUUAAUUGUAAUUCACAUAGAGAUAUAGUGGAUUAGUUAAUUAGGGUGUCUUGCUUAAUUCUAUCAUCUGUGGAUUUAAGUGAGUAUGUGUAUUAUGCAUCGACAGGUGGUUUUAUCUGCUUUAGUGUUCUUGAUUAACAAUUUAGGAUAGAGGAUAAUUGAUGAGAAGUGUGUUAACUUAAAUGAAGUAAUAAAUGAAGUUGUGAUCUUAAAUCUCUGUAAUCUUAAUUUAACUAGUGGUAAUUAGAAUUAGUUUAAUUAUAAAUUGAAAUUCAUUCGUUUAAAUAAGAUUGAGUUGAUUACGAGUUAGUACUUGGUGAUUUUUAUUAAAUAAUUCUCUAUGGGAACGAUACUCAACUUAUCACUUUAUUACUUGUUGACCACGUAUACUUACGUGUUGUGCGUAAUUAGAUUUUACCCAACAAGUUUUUCGCUCUAUUGUCGGGGAAUUAGUUUAAUAUUUUUUUACCAAUAUUUAUUUCAAUCAAAUUAGUCUUAAUUUAAACAUUUUUAUUUUUAUUUUUAAUUCUCUUCCUAUAUUUCUCUCUUUUCAGGUACCAUGGAUGACUUUGCGUAUCAAUGGCCAUACACGAACAUGACUCAACCAAGGGAAACAUGGAUUGAUGAACUUAAUGCAUUUUCCACAGAGUCAGUACAAAUUGAGGCAAAUUCGAAGACGUUGGAGGUUAUCGCAGCCCAACAGAGGCGAAGGAUGGCAGUUACGUGUGACUAUUGUGCUGGUAACCAUCAAAGUCAUCAAUGCACCGUCAAUUUUGAAC